Molecule: long non-coding RNA, 4678 nt
Organism: Centruroides sculpturatus (bark scorpion)
Lineage: Eukaryota; Metazoa; Arthropoda; Arachnida; Scorpiones; Buthidae
Exons: 3
Source: RefSeq, a predicted model, not a curated record
AGCUGAUAGUAUGUUUAACAUUACCAAGAAUUUUAAAUUAGGCUUUGGAUCAUUUAUUGAUAAAGUAGUUAUGCCAUAUGCUUCAAUGGUACCAGCUCGAUUGAAAAAUCCUUGUGGAGAAGACUUUUCUUGCAGUUCACCAUAUGGUUUUCGUAAUCAUCUCUCAUUAACAAAUGAUGUUCGUGAAUUUAUUACUGAAGUAUCAAAUGCAUCAUUAUCAGCAAAUUUAGAUAAUGCUGAAGGUGGUUUUGAUGCAAUUAUGCAAGUUGUAGUUUGCAAGGUAAUGUAUUAAUUAUUUAGUAAACAAUAUUUUGAAUUAUAGUUAUAUUCUAAUGUAAAUUUAUAAAUGUUUAAAUUAACUUUCUCUAAGAUGUUACGAUUAGAGCCAUACAUAACUGUGUACUUGAACAUGAUAUGCAUAAACAAAUUUAUUGUAUAUGUAUAUAUGGCUGCCAUAUUGCCACCACAUGGCACAAGUAUACUUGAACACUGCCAAUUUGAAUCAUGUCAUCAACAGAUGAAGACAAUGCUCUUGCUUUAGUUUCUUUGGUUUCAAUUUUAAAGAAAAAAAAUCAAUGGAAAUAUUGUAGUUUGUAGUGUAAAAACUAAAAUAAUAUUAUUCCUUAAAGCUGGAACUAUCAAUACUAUACAAUUGAUGAAAAACUGACAUUUCAUACAUUUCCAGCAAUGCUAUUGAUGUAAACAAAAAGCAAACAUUUUCAACCUCAUUAAGGGCCAGCAUUAGGCUUGUAUAGAAGAUUCUCCUUACUUUUUUUUAUUUUUUUUUUCACCAAACUUUUGGAAUUUCAAACAAUUUUGAAAAAAUUUAAAGUUCUGGAACAAGUUUUAUUUAACCAACCAAAGCAUCCAAUUUCUAUCUUUAAGUCAUCAACCAGUGUCACUAAUGUCAAAAGUUUUUGACAACAUUAACCCAAAAUAAUUUCACAGAACACACAAAUUAUAGUACACAAAUAAUAAAAUAUUUUCUAAUGUAGAUACAGCAGCGUAAAUCUGUUCUUAAAAUGUAUCUUCAAAUAAAGAAUUGUCUAUAAGUGAUUUCCAAGUAUUGGAAAGCAUUUCGACGACUGUACUAUAUAUAGAUAUUCCUCUCUGUGAGUUCUUAUGUAUCUCCCAUGUCUCCAGUAUUCUCAGUUUUAUCAUUAUCAGUUCAGACACCAAUUAAGUGAUAAGAAAAACUAUGAAUAUUAUGUGAAGUGAAAUCUUUAUUAUGAUGCCUGAUAGCAAGUCAUAUAUUAAUGUUCAAUUCAAUCAUACAACUAAAAAAAUAAUUAGUUAUAGCAGCAAGAAUGAGAAUUAAUUGUAAGGACAAGAAAGAGAAUAAAAUGAGAAGGAAAGUAAAGUCAAAGAUGUUGCUACUCAUGUGUAAACUUUUGAGCAAUAAUUUGGUUUGUGUAUAAGUUUGUUGUCCAAACAACAAAACCUAUCAUCAUUAUACAGUGAGUCAAAACUCCCUUGCACCCUUUUCAUUCCAAAAGUAUAGAAGAUAUAUUAAUUUGUUAAUGUAGUUGUUAUGUAUGUAACCUCCAGGGGAUAACCCACACCGAAUUGCCCCUUGACCUAGUUAGGUGACCCCAUACCUCUGACCUUUGUCAUGUUUCUUUGUCUCAAGUCAGUCGUGCGUUAGCUGUUGUAAUACUUAGACCUGAGGCACAACGUUACAUUUGUAUUACCACAACAUUACAUUUCUAUUAUAAUAAAGUUAAUUAUAUAUGUUAACAAGUAAUCAUUUAUUUUACGGACACCACAAUUGGCAACGAUAAGAUACAACAAGGAUAAAAUUGGCAACAAAUUGGCAAUAAGGGUAAAAUUGGCAACAAGGACAAAAAGGAUAUAAAAAUGAAUGAACUUGCAGAAUUAAUUUCAACGCUAAAUGUGUUCAUCAAGAAACUACAGAGUCAGUCAGUGGAGACAAAACCAGAACUAUUUGUUCAACGAGUUCUCCAAAUGCAAGCCCUAACCUUUGAAACUUACAACAAAAUGUCCGAGACCUUUAAAAACUAUUCCCAACAACUGGAUAACUUUUUCAAAAUCAAAGGACUAACCGGAACAGAUGCCAUUACUGAAGAAGCUGAGGUAAUGAUAUUUAUCAAUUGUCUUGGACCAAAACAUUACCAGCUACUGAUCAAUCUGACAGCACCAGAAAUACCCUCUAGGUGAACCUUUGCUGAAUUAAUGAAGUUGCUACAAAAUCACUAAUAUCAAAAAGAAAUAUCCUAACAGAACAGCAUAAAUUUUUGUCCAGAGUACAACAUAAUGGUGAGUCCAUUUCAAAUUACGUGACUUCAUUAAAACAACUCUCGAAAAUUUUAGAUUUCAAGUCUAGUUGUAACAAUGCGAUGAAGGCUCUGAAAGACAUUACAAAAGAAGCAUACCAGGACUGUUUCAACAAGUGGAAACACCGUUGGGAUAAGUGUGUGUGUUGGGAAGGAGAGUACUUUGAAGGGGACCCAGACAUGUAACUUCUACAUAAAGUACAUUUUGUUUUAUGACGUCAGUCCACGUAUUUUUUGAACAGAUCUCAUAUUGCCACAAAGUUACAUUUCUAUUGUAAUAAAGUUAAUUAUAUAUGUUAACAAGUAAUCGUUUAUUUUACAGACACAACAGUAGUUACAUAUGCAUGCAUGGAGAAUUGAAUGUGACAAAAUAAUUUUUAAGGUUACAUAUAUUGUAAGUUAUUAAUGAACAGAGACAACAUAAAAGUUACAAUGACAAAGAUAGAGCAUAAAUUCAACUACUCAAAACUGGGAAAUGUUAAUAAACACUGCACAUAUAACCAAUAUCCAGCAAGAAGAAAUUACAAGAAAGAAAACAUUUUCAACUAUGUUUAAAGGGCAUCAUCAGGCUAACAGACCUUCAUAGUUUGAAUGUAGCUGUUGAAAAAAACAGCUUGAAUCAAAAAGUUACUAUGAAUAGGUGAUUGCUCUGUGAGAAUCAUGCGAGUAUACAUUGGUCCGUUAAAGGCAGUACAUGGAUAAAUAACAACAAUUAUUUAUUUACCAUCACAUGAAUGGUAGUAUACAGGAUUCUUUUACGGAUUCCAACUCUGAGUGUUACAGAAUAUCCAAAAAUAGGUGCAAGGAAUCAAGUAAAUACAAAGUAAAGGAACCCGCUCACGACAAUUAAGAAAAGACAGAUGUAUAAUCUUGAGAAAUAUAAGAAAAGACAGAUGUACAAUGAAUACUUAUACUAAAUUAUAAACUUAAAAGAGUAAGGUAGAAUAUCAGAAAGUUUAGUAUGAUAGAAGAAGAGGUUAUACAGAAUACCCGGGUUUUCUUGUUGGUAUUGAUGCUCUUCUGGUAGGGAACCACUAUAAAUCAUUUCCCGAUGAUCUUUAAUUGGAUCUCUUCAAUUAUCCUCCUUAAACAAGGGACGUUCGUCUAUCUCUCCUUUGUUGACAGGGUCUUUUCUCCUUUGCAGGCCACUUUCAUCUCCAUUUGUCCUUCUAGAUGGCAAGCAGGAGCGUAACUUUCACACGUCUGCCUUCACUGAGAGUCUGACCCAAGAAUGACCCUCUUUAUCCAUUAUAAUAAUCUCGGGGCUCACACUUCCCAUUGUUACUGUGGUUCUUAGAAAGGGUUACCCCACCCGAGGAAGGAAUGUUAGUUGAAAAUUCGAGAAAACAAAAAGGGAAACAAAGAAGAAAGAAAAUUUAAAACUAAACUUAUAUCAAAACAUAUACAGUAAUAUGGCAUAUUGCCACAGCUGUCCACAUGUUAAAAAAGGGGUGACAUGAGAGAGGGAAGAUGAUUAUAAGUGUAAUUUCCUUAGCUUGAGAGCAGUAAGAUGGAAAUUAUAUAUAUAAGAUAACAAACUGAUCCCACUUUAAUAAGGUGAUGUGGACCCAACAAAAUAUCUAAACCAUAACAGACUGAUCACUCUCAAUAAUGGGAUAUAAAUACUGACAUUAUUAUUUUCCACUCUUGGCCCUAAUUUACACUUAAAGAACUCAGUGAAAGCACCUUAGUUCAUUCAGUCUUUUCUCUCCUCCUCUCUUUAUUCAUUAUCAGGAAUUCUGAGAUACUGUUCUUACAAGAGUCUGGUCCUUUCCAUAUAUAUAUAUUGGGUAUACAUAUGUUGAAUAGUUUAUCCUCACUCAGAAUAACAAGUCCUUUGUUCUUGUACAUGAUCACCUUCUUUUUUUCAAUGAUCUCUUCUGCCUUCUCAGUGGUUACUUCAGAUGAGACAAAGCCCAUCAAGGGAAAAGAUGUUAUCACAUCAGCUCUCUCAUUCUUAUACCUUCCUAUCUAUCAUCAUCUCAUCUCCACCAAUCAGGGCAUAUCACAAAGAUGACCUGGUUGAUCCUAUUCAGAUGUGCAUCUGACAAACAAAAACCAUUACAGUAUUGCCUCUGGCAUUAAGCUGUAAUGAGGCAUUGCAAUGGCCAAGGGUGAGAACAAAAGAAUAUACAGUACUUCCAAAUAUGGAACAGAAGUACUAUACAAGAUUAAACUUUAUACAUUGACUUCCAUGCAGGGGGGAAGAGUCUAUAUCUAUAAAGUUGUUAGCUGCAUUUUUUCUUGUGGCUUUGUAAAUUUCUAAUUGUUCUGAAUAGCUAAGCUGUUUUUAGUGGGAGAAGCUAUGUAAGAGGCAUGCUCAGUCAAAUGAUGGUUUUUAUACAAAAUUAAAUUUUAUGAUAUCCCAUAGAAUUUAAUCUAUA